RNAcentral lists this ribosomal RNA (890 nucleotides) under uncultured bacterium. RNAcentral describes it as "bacterial SSU rRNA". It matches the Rfam family "Bacterial small subunit ribosomal RNA", at positions 9 to 873 of the family's 1533-position model. The record is from RNAcentral.
AGAGUUUGAUCCUGGCUCAGAAUCAACGCUGGCGGCGUGCCUAAUACAUGCAAGUCGAACGCGAAGACCCCGCAAGGGGUUGUUAGCGUGGCAAACGGGUGAGUAACGCGUGGGCGACCUACCUUCGAGUGGGGGAUAACCUUCCGAAAGGAGGGCUAAUACCGCAUGACAUGCUCUGUUUAGAUACAGGGACAUCAAAGCCGGGGAUCGCGAGACCUGGCGCUUGACGAGGGGCCUACGUCCGAUUAGCUAGUUGGUGGGGUAAUGGCUCACCAAGGCGACGAUCGGUAUCCGGCCUGAGAGGGCGGACGGACACACUGGGACUGCGACACGGCCCAGACUCCUACGGGAGGCAGCAGUAGGGAAUUGUUCGCAAUGGGCGCAAGCCUGACGACGCAACGCCGCGUGGAGGAUGAAGACCUUCGGGUCGUAAACUCCUUUCGACCGAGAUGAAUACGUGUCGACCUAAUACGUCGACGCGCUGACAGUAUCGAGGGAAGCAGCCCCGGCUAACUCCGUGCCAGCAGCCGCGGUAAUACGGGGGGGGCAAGCGUUGUUCGGAAUUACUGGGCGUAAAGGGUUCGUAGGUGGCCAACUAAGUCAGACGUGAAAUCCCUCAGCUUAACUGGGGGAACUGCGUCUGAUACUGGUUGGGCUCGAGUGCAGGAGAGGAACGCGGAAUUCCAGGUGUAGCGGUGAAAUGCGUAGAUAUCUGGAGGAACACCGGUGGCGAAGGCGGCGUUCUGGACUGCAACUGACACUGAGGAACGAAAGCCAGGGGAGCAAACGGGAUUAGAUACCCCGGUAGUCCUGGCCCUAAACGAUGAAUGCUUGGUGUGGCGGGUAUCGAUCCCUGCCGUGCCGAAGUUAACGCGAUAAGCAUUCCGCCU